Suncus etruscus (white-toothed pygmy shrew) is the source of this 103-nucleotide small nuclear RNA. NCBI's taxonomy places the organism in Eukaryota, Metazoa, Chordata, Mammalia, Eulipotyphla, Soricidae. The record is from RefSeq and is a predicted model, not a curated record.
GUCCUCUCUUCGGCAGCACAUAUACAAAAUUGGAACAAUACAGAGAAGACUAGCAUGUCCCUUGUGCAAGGAUGACACCCGAAGUGAAGUUUCCUGGGUCCCC